This 497-nucleotide ribosomal RNA is filed under the name uncultured bacterium. Its description in RNAcentral is "partial 16S ribosomal RNA". It matches the Rfam family "Bacterial small subunit ribosomal RNA", at positions 28 to 507 of the family's 1533-position model. The record is from RNAcentral.
GAUGAACGCUGGCGGCGUGCCUAAUACAUGCAAGUCGAGCGAACAGACGAGGAGCUUGCUCCUCUGACGUUAGCGGCGGACGGGUGAGUAACACGUGGAUAACCUACCUAUAAGACUGGGAUAACUUCGGGAAACCGGCGCUAAUACCGGAUAAUAUAUUGAACCGCAUGGUUCAAUAGUGAAAGACGGGUUUGCUGUCUCUUAUAGAUGGAUCCGCGCCGCAUUAGCUAGUUGGUAAGGUAACGGCUUACCAAGGCAACGAUGCGUAGCCGACCUGAGAGGGUGAUCGGCCACACUGGAACUGAGACACGGUCCAGACUCCUACGGGAGGCAGCAGUAGGGAAUCUUCCGCAAUGGGCGAAAGCCUGACGGAGCAACGCCGCGUGAGUGAUGAAGGUCUUCGGAUCGUAAAACUCUGUUAUUAGGGAAGAACAAAUGUGUAAGUAACUAUGCACGUCUUGACGGUACCUAAUCAGAAAGCCACGGCUAACUACGUG